This 442-nucleotide ribosomal RNA is filed under the name uncultured bacterium. Its description in RNAcentral is "partial 16S ribosomal RNA". It matches the Rfam family "Bacterial small subunit ribosomal RNA", at positions 338 to 795 of the family's 1533-position model. The record is from RNAcentral.
CCUACGGGAGGCAGCAGUAGGGAAUCUUUCACACUGGGCGAAAGCCUGAUGGAGCAACGCCGCGUGCAGGAUGAAGGCCUUCGGGUUGUAAACUGCUUUUAUAAGCGAGAAAUAUGAUGGUAACUUAUGAAUAAGGAUCGGCUAACUACGUGCCAGCAGCCGCGGUCAUACGUAGGAUCCGAGCAUUAUCCGGAAUGACUGGGUGUAAAGAGUUGCGUAGGUUGAAUAAUAAGUACCUAGUGAAAUCUGGUGGCUUAACCAUUCAGACUAUUAGCUAAACUGUUAAGCUCGAGAGCGUUAGGGGUAACUGGAAUGUCUAGUGUAGGAGUGAAAUCCGUAGAUAUUAGAAGGAACACCAAUAGCGUAGGCAGGUUACUGGGACGGUUCUGACACUAAGGCACGAAAGCGUAGGGAGCAAACGGGAUUAGAUACCCCGGUAGGC